CCUACGGGUGGCAGCAGUGAGGAAUAUUGGUCAAUGGACGAGAGUCUGAACCAGCCAAGUAGCGUGAAGGAUGACUGCCCUAUGGGUUGUAAACUUCUUUUAUAUGGGAAUAAAAUGUUCCACGUGUGGGAUUUUGUAUGUACCAUAUGAAUAAGGAUCGGCUAACUCCGUGCCAGCAGCCGCGGUAAUACGGAGGAUCCGAGCGUUAUCCGGAUUUAUUGGGUUUAAAGGGUGCGCAGGCGGUCUGUUAAGUCAGCGGUCAAAGCCCGGGGCUCAACCCCGGCCCGCCGUUGAAACUGGCAGUCUCGAGUUGGAGAGAAGUAUGCGGAAUGCGCGGUGUAGCGGUGAAAUGCAUAGAUAUCGCGCAGAACUCCGAUUGCGAAGGCAGCAUGCCGGCUCCACACUGACGCUGAGGCACGAAAGCGUGGGUAUCGAACAGGAUUAGAUACCCCAGUAGUC
This 459-nucleotide ribosomal RNA is filed under the name uncultured bacterium. Its description in RNAcentral is "partial 16S ribosomal RNA". It matches the Rfam family "Bacterial small subunit ribosomal RNA", at positions 338 to 795 of the family's 1533-position model. The record is from RNAcentral.